RNAcentral lists this ribosomal RNA (3327 nucleotides) under Triticum aestivum (bread wheat). Its description in RNAcentral is "partial small subunit ribosomal RNA". The record is from RNAcentral. Lineage: Eukaryota; Viridiplantae; Streptophyta; Magnoliopsida; Poales; Poaceae.
AGCCAAGUAAUUCCAAAUAAUAUUGCACACUUAAUGGGUAGUGAUAUAUAGCAGGAUACAUUUUAUUAUAUGAGAGGGGAAAUCAUGCGGCAUGCACAACCGAUGUAUAAAGAUACAAUACAAUACAACAAUAAGUUCUGAAUGACAAAGGGAUUGACAAUAAAAUAUACUAGCAAGAAGUACUUCAUUCCCCUUAUUCGAAUAGUGGUAUGUUCGGCAGUUCUUCCUUAAUUUUAGCCCGUGUUCCCAAACCUUUUCUGACGAGUAACAACAGAAAUGACAUACAACCUGUCAUAUAGCUUGUCGAGUACCCCAAAAUAAGUAUACCUCCAUCUCUUCAUGAAUAGAAGCCCGCAAAAUACCAUCCAAACACCCACCACAAAACCAACAAAUAAUCCAUUUGAGACGAGCCAUAUUCAAACCAUCUUGCUGAAUCUCCAUUGCUGGGCGGAUCUCUAGGAGAACGUGGGCAUUGCCUUGAAACUGGAAGUCCACAAAGACCAGGAUUACCAAUGUACAUGGAAGCUGGAUCAUUUGUCUCAAGGAUGUCGAGUUGAUGCCCUAAGGGUAUUCUUCCUGACAGAUUAUUGUAUGACAAAUUGAGACAGCUCAAGUAUGUCAAAUCUGAUAAGCCUUCCGGAAUUUCACCAGCAUGUUUGUUCUUUGAGAGAUCAAGAGACUCCAGUGAGCGAAGGUUUCCAAUCUUAUAUGGAAUAUUUCCACUCAGCAAGUUUGAUGAUAAAUUCAAAUUUAUGAGUCCAACGAGGGAGGUAAGGUCCUCCGGGAUUUCUCCGAUUAAACUAUUGCAAGAUAAAUCAAUGCUCAUCAAGUAUAGAGUAUUCUCCCUGUGCUCUAGCAGUUGCCCUUUUAUCACCACCAAGAAGCUAUCAUUAGACAGACUAGAGGACAUGGACAUAGAGCUACGAUAUCCUUCCUCAAAAGGAUUAUCAAAUGAUAUAUUAUUAGAAGUAGAAGUGUGAGUCAAAGCUUUCAAUUUUUCUAAACAUUUUGGUAUGGCCCCAGAAAAAUUAUUAUUGGACAGAUCCAGGAUACGAACAUCUUGAAGUCCCAUUAUUUCAACUGGAAUGUGACCUGAAAAUUUGUUUGAUCUUAACCGUAGCAUAACCAAACCAGGCAUGGCUUCGCUAAUCCAUCCAGGUAACUCUCCAGUGAAUUUGUUUUGAGUUAGAUCGAGGAAAACCAGCCUUGGACAUUGUCGUAGGAACAAAGGAAAUCCACUUGAAAAACUGUUGUUGCUUAGAAGGAAACUAGUGAUCCUCAAACUGAAAUAUCUCAGAGAUCUGACUUUUGAGGAGUUGUUGCUAGACGGGUUCCCCUGUUUUAGCUCUUUUAUACCACAAUCAGGAAGUUCCUUUGAAAGCAGAUUGUUCGAAAGAUCCAAAACCCGCAAUUUUCGCAUUCGACAAAUUGUUUUCGGAAUAGUCCCAGUUAUAGAAUUGGAAAAAAGAGCUGCCGCCCGUAGUUGUGGAGCUUGGAAAUUUGGCACAAAGCCAUUUAAAGAGUUUCUAGAUAUGUCCAGUAUCUCAGUUGUUCUUGAUAACUUGGGUAUCAAACCAGUUAGCAGAUUUGACUGCAUUAAAAGUUUAAUCACUGACAUGAACUCGAGAUUGAGUGGCAAAUUGCCACUAAGAUGGUUCAAGGAGAUGUCCAAAUAUGUAGCAUCAGAAAAGGUAGUCCAAAACCAAUAUGGGAUCUUACCAACUAGGCCUGUGUUUGAAAUAUGAAGGAUCUUGGUGCUUUUCUGCCAACGAAGCCAUUUAGGAAAUUGGGGACCUAAAUGACAAGAUGAAAACCAUGCUGAUUCCAAGUUGAACGGAGGCAUCCAAUGUGAGUCCACAAUAACAUCCAAAUUAUUAGAGGAUAAGUCAAGAGACUCUAAAUUCAUCAAACCUGCAAAAUGGUCUUCUGAUAUCAGACCACUCAAGUUGUUGCGUCCAAGGUACAAGUGAGUCAAACUUGUAAGCGUGCCAAUCUCUGCAGGCACUGAACCGCUCAAGGUGUUGUUUCCAAGGUUUAAGUAGGUCAAAUUUGCAAGCGUGCCAAUCUCCACGGGCACUGAACCACUCAAUUGGUUUCCAUGGACAUUAAGCACGUAUAAGCUAGUCAGGUUUGUCACAAAUUGUAAUGUUGUGCCAGUGAUGUUGGCAUCCAUUAGAGCCAAUUCUUGCAAAUUCUUCCGAGAACAAUUAGGUAUCCUAUCUAUCACCUCUGUUAUGCCCCCGCCGAUGUUGUUGAAGCUGAGACCAAGAGACCGUAAGUUACACAUGUUUUUCAGUGUUGCAGGUAUCAUUCCUUGGAUGUUGUUUCCUUGAACGUCAAAAGUCUCCAACAAGGUCAAGUUGCCCAACUCGUCAGGAAACGUGCCUGAUAAUUCACAACCCCGUAAGUGUAGCCUUUUGAGGCUAGUUAUGUCCCAAAACCAGUUGGAUGCAGACGGACCUUGGAAAGGGUUAUAAGAGAGGUCAAGCUCCUCAAGAACUGUAAGGUUCUGGUGUACAAGUGACCAUGAAACAUUACUCUUAAUAAGACCACAUGAAAACAUAGCCAGCACAACCAAAUUGGGAAGGGCGUUGACCUUAUGGACCCAGUCAAUGACUCCGCUGAGGUUGAUCCCGCCCAUGUUAAGAUGCUCUAGAAAGCCAAGAGAUGCUAACCAAGAUAUAUCAUUUGUGUGUAGAUCAGUGUCAUAAUUGGCAUGUAUGUCAAGUUGUACUAGCUUGGAGAGGUUGCCUAGCUGAGGAGGCACUCUGCCACGAAAACCCAUGUUGGAGAGGUUGAGAUACCUCAAACUCCGGAGAGAGCCCAGGAACCCCGGCAUAGCCUUUGCAUCUCCGAGAAAAAUAUUCCAGCUCAGGCCGAGAUGCUUGAGACGUCGGAGAGCAAGCAGCGAAGAAGAUACCUGUCCGCGCAGCGAGUGGUUUUCAGUGUCACCAGGAUCAAGGAAAUAAUCCUCUUCUGGAGCUGGAUAAUCGUUGCGGAGGUCGAGCUUGAUGACGUGGCCUGUCCGGCGGCUGCAGGUGAUGCCGCUCCACAGACAGCAGUCGUGGUGUCCUUGCUGCCAUGAUGCGAGGCGAUUCGCCGGGUCGACUGUGAUGUCGGCCUUGAAGGAGAGCAGCGCAGCCCUCUCGGCCGGGAUGCAGCUCCCGUUGGAUCUUCCAUCGACAACGGAGAAGGUGGCGGUGGUCGAGGCAGCUAGGAUGGCAAGGAAGAGCAAGCUUGAUGCAGCCAUUGCGUUGUUGCUCUGAAGGUGCCCUGAAGGCGCACGCAUGGAUGAGGGUGCCCUGAAGGAAAACAUGGUCGUGGCAC